Coccinella septempunctata (seven-spotted ladybird) is the source of this 1239-nucleotide long non-coding RNA. RefSeq lists it as uncharacterized. The transcript has 2 exons. Lineage: Eukaryota; Metazoa; Arthropoda; Insecta; Coleoptera; Coccinellidae. The record is from RefSeq and is a predicted model, not a curated record.
GAAACUAGACAUCAUUAAAUUUGUUUUUUGGAUAUAUUUUACCUACUUAUAUCAAGAUACCACAAGUACUCAGAAGAUAGACAUAGAGUCAUUUGGGCAGAUACCACACUAUCAAAUAGAAAUAUAGAACGAUAGAAAUAGAAAACACUUCAGCCCGUAUAUUAUAGUAGGUAAAGUUUUUAGUAACUCUUUAAAAACCCACUAUGGGUAGAGUCAAGCCAUUAUGAAUCGAGGAUUUUCUUUGAUAUUGAUAUGUGUUCCAACCAAGUCACUAUAGUAUUCAUAGAAAUAAGAAAGCUGCUCUCGCUAAAUUGGGGUGCAAUCGUUACCUAUAUACAAUAAUUAUUAUGAAACUGACGAAGUAGAGACUUCAAUAGAUUAACUUUGUCCGAAAACUCAUCACAUUGAAAUAAUAUCUAAUUUUUCUUACUGAUUUGCCCCACCACAUCAUAUAUUAUAUGUCCUGCAUAGCAGUUGCAGAAAUAGUGUUCACUAACAUCAUCCACUUACUUUGAAAUAUAUUCGUAAUGUUUUCAAGAUCAUUAAUUUCCUUAUAAAAUCAGAUAUGAAGCCCAAAUGCGAACGGUUAUACUAAGAAGACUUCAAGUUAAAUUUUCGUUCGUACUGCAUAGGUAUCAUGACGUAACCGAUUGUUAUUACGAAGUUAUUCAUAUCUUAAAAAACAACCCUUGAAAAAAUCACUAAUUUCCUGCUGGAAACAUCGAUAGGCAAUCCAAUUUUGAUUGAAUUAUCUGUUCCGAAUGAACUAUCGUGAGUAGUUAGGAAAUCCCACUUCUUACCUCAAGAUAAGAUUAUAUUGUAUGCGCAAAUUAAACACUUCCUUUUAGGAAACGCAUAUAUCAUUUAUAUACAAUUUCAACCAUCGCAUAAUUUAUUAAAAAACAAGAACUUCAUUGAAGCCUUAUUACAUUUACCCGAUAUCUCCCGUUGUCAAUAUGAAACUCAAUCUCACGCAUCUUUUUGGUCUUCUGUUUCUUUUCGUAGCUCUCUUCAUGGAAUCUGAAGGGAACAACAUGUUUGUUCCAAAGAGAAAGUGUCCACCAGGGCAAUACGCUUUGGGAAAUGGCCCUUGCAGAGAAUUAGAGGUUUAUGAUGAUGCAGAAUGAGAGUCAUCUCAUUGCUGCGGAAUGCAAUCUCAACACCCUGAACACCUGCGUUUGAAUGAAGCACCAAAAUCUUUCAAUUAUACUUUUCAUGAAUAAAAUUUAGUUUUCUGAA